This 464-nucleotide ribosomal RNA is filed under the name uncultured bacterium. Its description in RNAcentral is "partial 16S ribosomal RNA". It matches the Rfam family "Bacterial small subunit ribosomal RNA", at positions 28 to 507 of the family's 1533-position model. The record is from RNAcentral.
GACGAACGCUGGCGGCGUGCUUAACACAUGCAGGUCGAACGGUAAGGCCCCAGCUUGCUGGGGUACACGAGUGGCGAACGGGUGAGUAACACGUGGGUGACCUGCCCCGCACUUCGGGAUAAGCCUGGGAAACUGGGUCUAAUACCGGAUAGGACCGCACCGUGAGGGUGUGGUGGAAAGUUUUUCGGUGUGGGAUGGGCCCGCGGCCUAUCAGCUUGUUGGUGGGGUAAUGGCCUACCAAGGCGGCGACGGGUAGCCGGCCUGAGAGGGUGGACGGCCACAUUGGGACUGAGACACGGCCCAGACUCCUACGGGAGGCAGCAGUGGGGAAUAUUGCACAAUGGGCGGAAGCCUGAUGCAGCGACGCCGCGUGGGGGAUGACGGCCUUCGGGUUGUAAACUCCUUUCACCAUCGACGAAGGUUUUCUGACGGUAGAUGGAGAAGAAGCACCGGCUAACUACGUG